GUGCCUACGGGACGCAGCAGUGGGGAAUUUUGGACAAUGGGCGCAAGCCUGAUCCAGCUAUUCCGCGUGUGGGAUGAAGGCCCUCGGGUUGUAAACCACUUUUGUAGAGAAUGAAAAGACACCUUCGAAUAAAGGGUGUUGCUGACGGUACUCUAAGAAUAAGCCCCGGCUAACUACGUGCCAGCAGCCGCGGUAAUACGUAGGGGGCAAGCGUUAUCCGGAAUUAUUGGGCGUAAAGAGUACGUAGGCGGUUCUUUAAGCGCAGGGUUUAAGGCGAUAGC
Molecule: ribosomal RNA, 281 nt
Filed under: uncultured bacterium
Lineage: Bacteria
Description: partial 16S ribosomal RNA
Rfam family: Bacterial small subunit ribosomal RNA
Source: RNAcentral